UUUGACCUCAAAUCAGGUAGGACUACCCGCUGAACUUAAGCAUAUCAAUAAGCGGAGGAAAAGAAACUAACAAGGAUUCCCCUAGUAACUGCGAGUGAAGAGGGAAAAGCUCAAAUUUAAAAUCUGGCAGCGUUUGCUGUCC
This 142-nucleotide ribosomal RNA is filed under the name Armillaria mellea. Its description in RNAcentral is "partial 28S ribosomal RNA". It matches the Rfam family "Eukaryotic large subunit ribosomal RNA", at positions 1 to 139 of the family's 3401-position model. The record is from RNAcentral. Lineage: Eukaryota; Fungi; Basidiomycota; Agaricomycetes; Agaricales; Physalacriaceae.